This 352-nucleotide unclassified non-coding RNA is filed under the name soil metagenome. Its description in RNAcentral is "partial contains 5.8S ribosomal RNA, internal transcribed spacer 2, and large subunit ribosomal RNA". The stretch from base 1 to 120 matches the Rfam family "5.8S ribosomal RNA", at positions 35 to 154 of the family's 154-position model. The record is from RNAcentral.
GAUGAAGAACGUAGCGAAAUGCGAUAAGUAAUGUGAAUUGCAGAAUUCAGUGAAUCAUCGAAUCUUUGAACGCACAUUGCGCCCGCCAGUAUUCUGGCGGGCAUGCCUGUUCGAGCGUCAUUACAACCCUCAGGCCCCCGGGCCUGGCGUUGGGGAUCGGCGGAAGCCCCCUGUGGGCACACGCCGUCCCUCAAAUACAGUGGCGGUCCCGCCGCAGCUUCCAUUGCGUAGUAGCUAACACCUCGCAACUGGAGAGCGGCGCGGCCAUGCCGUAAAACACCCAACUUCUGAAUGUUGACCUCGAAUCAGGUAGGAAUACCCGGUGAACUUAAGCAUAUCAAUAAGCGGAGGA